Scylla paramamosain (green mud crab) is the source of this 2057-nucleotide long non-coding RNA. RefSeq lists it as uncharacterized. The record is from RefSeq and is a predicted model, not a curated record. Lineage: Eukaryota; Metazoa; Arthropoda; Malacostraca; Decapoda; Portunidae. The transcript is spliced from 4 exons.
CUUGUGAGAACCUGAGCCCAGCUGAGUGACAGGCGCAGAAAUUGCUGGCUACGAGCUGUGUUUAUAUUUAAAAUGAAAAAUUUAAAACUGACAAUUGAGAUCAUGGCAGUAUAUUAUAAUUCAUUUAUUUAUUAGAUAAUAAAUUCAUUUAUUGACAUGAUAGAAUACUGCCAUGAUCUCAGUUGUCAUUUUCACAUUUUUUUUAUUUCAAAUGUAACUCUUCCUUGAACAAGAGGACUGGGUUUGUAGUAGGAAAGGUCACAGCCUAACUAAAAAUAAACUUUUAAAAGAAUACGAAAAUCGGAAAAAAUCUAAUUAGAAAUGAUGGCAGUAGUAAACAUUUUAACAGUGUAAUGGAUAGACACGGGUAGUAAUGUUGAGGGAGAAAAGCUUUGCUCGAAACAUGCAACUCACACCUCGCUUCCUCCACUACUAUCUGCGUGUAUGCCUCAUAAUGCUAACACUUCUGGCAUGACUCAUAAUACCAGCAUCUCUACUAAAUCGGUGGCGGUAAUCCUAAAGAAGGCGUAGAAAUGUCAUAUUGAUUAUCCAUUAACUGUGAAGGAAAUGAAACCUGAGUAGAGGAAAUACUUCAUGCAAACGAUCCCUGCUACCAUCUCGCCGGACAUCUGAACUGAGACAAACUUCUUUAGCCUGAACCACUCCUCUCCCCACCAUUCAUUCCCUCCAUCGCUGCACCAUUACUCUCUCCCCUACCUCUUUCCCUCCAUCAUACCUCCCAUAUUUUACCCUUUACCAUUCUUUAUCUGCAUAGCCACAACCAUCAUCCUAUCCCGUCAUCACCCCUCCUCCACCCACACCACUAUUCAUUCCCUGUCACGUCACUUUCAUUCAAUUUAAUUCAAGUUUCAUUCAAGAAGUAAGACAAUGCAAGUAUUAGUAUAAGUUUCUUUCAAGUAGUAAGAUAAUGCAAGUAUUAGUAAAAAAUUACAUCAUCCUGAACCAAACAAGCCAAAUACUUCGAAAGAUUCACCAACCUCUUAACUUCACACCUGUUGAAACGUGUUUUAUUCCAUUCCUGAUACGAUAAUGCAACGGUCCCAUCUCCUCAGCGGCCAACUGAGAAAGCAUAAGCCAGGAAUAUAGGCUACGUCUCGUCCUCCUCGGCGAUCCUCCUCUUCCGCCGCCUGCCACUGACGAAGUGUUUAUGCGGGGCAAGGAAAACCCGAGAAUGGCCCACAAAACACCCAAAAACACGUUUAAGAGGAAGAGGAAUGUAUACGAAAAGGGAAAAUACAGGAAAAAGAAAAAAAAUGAGCGUUGACAGUUUUCAUUUCUGAACUCAUGACGUGUGUGGCGGGUAACAAGCAAAUUAUAACAGUUAAGCUAGGCGGGCAUUCUUUAGUAUGUAUUUUCAAGGUUAGCGAGUAAGUUUAGGCAAAUGUAACUGCAAAAUCUAAUCUAUUAUCGUUUCUUUAUUGAAAGCCUGUUAUUUUUUAAGCAUUUCCUAUCUUAUCUCGACUGUAGUGGUAGCAAGUGGAAGUUUUCAAGGGUGUUUUCAUGAUUUUCGUGGUAGUUUAGCAAAGAUUAAUUUAUUUAUAAAAAAAAAAAAAACAUUCUUGAGUUUCAUUGCUUAUUGUUCCCCUGUGCUUGCAUAUAUUAGCUGGCCGCUGCGUUGCCGCCUGUCAGGCUGCCAGGCUCGUCCAGCGUGGCAUACUGCAGUAGCAAUGCACAACUCACGAGUGUCGCCUUUACCCAGACUUAUUCGGAGAACUCAAGCAUGACAGCUCUCGUGUAUCUGUCAAUCCAUCCCAGGUGCUGGAGGUGGUUGAGACGCCUUAACAGCUCCGAACUUGUGCCCUUCAGAUGCAGUACAUAUCCUCCUCCUGUGUAACUCCCAAGCCGUCCAGAUGAGCAAGAUGCCUCUACUACAGCACCAAACAGCACCUUUACAGAGACAGGAUAUUCACCAUGAGAGGCUCCACUACCAGGAUCGAGAACAAGAAUGUUACAAUAAGAGAAGUAAGCCAGCGACUGGUCUUCUCAGCACCAAAUUGCAAAGCAUAUGCCCACACAAAGAAGACCGAGACACCAAU